RNAcentral lists this unclassified non-coding RNA (267 nucleotides) under Hevea brasiliensis (rubber tree). Lineage: Eukaryota; Viridiplantae; Streptophyta; Magnoliopsida; Malpighiales; Euphorbiaceae. The record is from RNAcentral.
UGUAGGAGUAACAGCCAUCACAUAGUAUCUUGCUCCAUUGCUUAAGUUGGCCGUUUCCAUCUGCAAGCCCAUGAAAGCUUCUGGAAGUUCAGUUAAUUGAAAGAGGAAUUUUACAUACUUCUCCCUUUUAUCCUUCUCAUCAACUGCAAUCUCAUGAAGUUGGCCAUUGUCUGUUCCCACAAUAACUUCUUUCGUAGAAGCCUCAGUGAUCUGCUGUCUAUUCCAAGCGACAGCAUUAACAACAAGACCUUUCAAUUUACUAAGAAC